AGGUAUUCCCCUAGUAACUGCGAGUGAAGCGGGAAAAGCUCAAAUUUAAAAUCUGGUGGUCUUUGGCCAUCCGAGUUGUAAUCUAGAGAAGUGUUAUCCGCGCUGGACCGUGUACAAGUCUCCUGGAAUGGGGCGUCAUAGAGGGUGAGAAUCCCGUCUUUGACACGGACUACCAGGGCUUUGUGAUGCACUCUCAAAGAGUCGAGUUGUUUGGGAAUGCAGCUCAAAAUGGGUGGUAAAUUCCAUCUAAAGCUAAAUAUUGGCGAGAGACCGAUAGCGAACAAGUACCGUGAGGGAAAGAUGAAAAGAACUUUGGAAAGAGAGUUAAACAGUACGUGAAAUUGUUGAAAGGGAAACGCUUGAAGUCAGUCGCGUCAGCCAGGGAUCAACCUUACUCUUCUGUGGGGUGUACUUCCUGGUUGAUGGGUCAGCAUCAGUUUUGGCUGCUGGAUAAAGGUCAGGGAAAUGUGGCACCUCCGGGUGUGUUAUAGUCUCUGAUCAGAUACAGUGGCUGGGACUGAGGAACUCAGCACGCCGCAAGGCCGGGGUUCGCCCACGUUCGUGCUUAGGAUGCUGGCAAAAUGGCUUUAAUCGACCCGUCUUGAAACACGGACCAAGGAGUCUAACAUGCCUGCGAGUGUUUGGGUGGAAAACCCGAGCGCGUAAUGAAAGUGAAAGUUGGGAUCCCUGUCGUGGGGAGCACCGACGCCCAGACCUGAAGUUUACGGACGGAUCUGCGGUUGAGCAUGUAUGUUGGGACCCGAAAGAUGGUGAACUAUGCCUGAAUAGGGCGAAGCCAGAGGAAACUCUGGUGGAGGCUCGUAGCGAUUCUGACGUGCAAAUCGAUCGUC
This 851-nucleotide ribosomal RNA is filed under the name Pleurotus tuber-regium. RNAcentral describes it as "partial large subunit ribosomal RNA". It matches the Rfam family "Eukaryotic large subunit ribosomal RNA", at positions 70 to 906 of the family's 3401-position model. Lineage: Eukaryota; Fungi; Basidiomycota; Agaricomycetes; Agaricales; Pleurotaceae. The record is from RNAcentral.